Molecule: transfer RNA, 77 nt
Filed under: bacterium
Lineage: Bacteria
Description: tRNA-Ile
Rfam family: tRNA
About the family: Transfer RNA (tRNA) molecules are approximately 80 nucleotides in length.
Source: RNAcentral
GGGCGAUUAGCUCAGCUGGUUAGAGCGCGACACUGAUAAUGUCGAGGUCACAAGUUCAAGUCUUGUAUCGCCCACCA